Raphanus sativus (radish) is the source of this 371-nucleotide long non-coding RNA. RefSeq lists it as uncharacterized. NCBI's taxonomy places the organism in Eukaryota, Viridiplantae, Streptophyta, Magnoliopsida, Brassicales, Brassicaceae. The record is from RefSeq and is a predicted model, not a curated record. The transcript is spliced from 3 exons.
AAUCCGAGUUGGAACUCUUCUCUCUUGCGAGUCAUGGCUUAAGAAUGAGGUUGUAGAAUUGUUCCUUGCAGGACAAAAAAGAUUAAAGUCUUGUGGGAAGAAUGAACUUGGUUAUGCUGAGAUAUGAAGUCAUAUUGUAAAGACAAUAUGAACAGAUGUGAUGAGAAACAAAGAUGGAACAGAUUCGGCCAUUUCUUUAGACAGGUUCACUCUACUUCUCACGGAGUUAUUUUGGAAAAAAUCUUGGUUAUACUUCGACGUCGGUUUAAGCCCAACGUUCCGGUUUGAUCUCAGCAUCGACGUCGGUUUAAUUUAAGUAUAAAACACAGUGUUUUAACACCAGUGGCAUUCCAUUGUAAUAUUUGUGCAAC